UCUGACGGGGACUCCGGCUCGGAGCUGGGCCCCGAGGCCGCCAGGGAGGGGACUGCGGGGGACGCCGGGAUUUUUGUUUGGGUAACUGGGUAGAUGGGGGCGCCAUUAUCGCGCUUCUCUUGCAGGGCGCCGUUGAAGGUUAUACGAGAGGCUCCAUCUGUCCUUGUUGAAAGUGCUCUAACGCAGGGACCAGCCGUCUUGCUGACGCCUGGGCCACCGAGCACAGGGACAGGACGGGGUUGCUGGAGGUGCAAGCUGGGAGAAAGGAGAGAACUGACUCCAUGCAGAGUUGGGAUUAAGGGCCCCUGGACAAGGGGCCGAGGCAGUGAAGGACGUCCAUCACUCAUCUGCCACUAUCCUCACAUUUAAUCCUCACAACACCCCUGUGAGGUUUAUCCGCUUCACCUGUUGCCGGGGAACACUGCUCUCCGGGGAACUUGGGGGACGACACUGUAAACAUGACUUCCUGGCCUGAUGGUGGCAGGGCUGAAUGUGCGAGU
Molecule: long non-coding RNA, 500 nt
Organism: Symphalangus syndactylus (siamang)
Lineage: Eukaryota; Metazoa; Chordata; Mammalia; Primates; Hylobatidae
Source: RefSeq, a predicted model, not a curated record